GAUGAACGCUAGCUACAGGCUUAACACAUGCAAGUCGAGGGGAAACGAUAUUGGAAGCUUGCUUCUGAUAGGCGUCGACCGGCGCACGGGUGAGUAACGCGUAUCCAACCUGCCCAUCACUUGGGGAUAACCUUGUGAAAGUAAGACUAAUACCCAAUGACGUCUCUAGAAGACAUCUGAAAGAGAUUAAAGAUUUAUCGGUGAUGGAUGGGGAUGCGUCUGAUUAGCUUGUUGGCGGGGUAACGGCCCACCAAGGCGACGAUCAGUAGGGGUUCUGAGAGGAAGGUCCCCCANAUUGGAACUGAGACACGGUCCAAAACUCCUACGGGAGCAGCAGUGAGGAAUAUUGGUCAAUGGACGAGAGUCUGAACCAGCCAAGUAGCGUGCAGGAUGACGGCCCUAUGGGUUGUAAAACUGCUUUUACAAGGGAAUAAAAGUGGGAGUCGUGACUCUUUUGCAUGUACCUUAUGAAUAAGCAUCGGCUAACUCCGUGCCAG
RNAcentral lists this ribosomal RNA (497 nucleotides) under uncultured bacterium. RNAcentral's name for it is "bacterial SSU rRNA". It matches the Rfam family "Bacterial small subunit ribosomal RNA", at positions 28 to 511 of the family's 1533-position model. The record is from RNAcentral.